UGAUAGUCUCUAGCAAUGGUCUCCAAAGUGGGGUGCGUGCACCACAGGGGGUGCGCCAGAGGAUCCCAAGGGGUGUGCGGCAGGAGGAGCACUGCUGGACGGCACUCCGCCAUUUUUUUUUCUUCGGCGGCAGCUCUGCAUGCCUGCUGCAGGUCUUUCCCUCUCCCGCUGCCAGUGG
Dermochelys coriacea (leatherback sea turtle) is the source of this 178-nucleotide long non-coding RNA. RefSeq lists it as uncharacterized. Lineage: Eukaryota; Metazoa; Chordata; Testudines; Dermochelyidae. The transcript has 3 exons. The record is from RefSeq and is a predicted model, not a curated record.